AAGUCGUAACAAGGUUUCCGUAGGUGAACCUGCGGAAGGAUCAUUACCGAGUUAGGGUCUUCCGGGCCCGACCUCCAACCCUUUGUUUAACUACCAUGUUGCUUUGGCGGGCCCGUCUCACGACCGUCGAGAGCCUCCCAGGUUCCCGGCCAGCGCCCGCCAGUCGCCCCUUCAAAUCCUUCUUUAAUUGUGAUGUCUGAGCAAUAAACUUAAAUAGUUAAAACUUUCAACAACGGAUCUCUUGGUUCUG
This 250-nucleotide unclassified non-coding RNA is filed under the name Chaetothyriales sp. RNAcentral's name for it is "partial contains small subunit ribosomal RNA, internal transcribed spacer 1, and 5.8S ribosomal RNA". The stretch from base 1 to 46 matches the Rfam family "Eukaryotic small subunit ribosomal RNA", at positions 1786 to 1831 of the family's 1831-position model. Lineage: Eukaryota; Fungi; Ascomycota; Eurotiomycetes; Chaetothyriales. The record is from RNAcentral.